Molecule: ribosomal RNA, 448 nt
Filed under: uncultured bacterium
Lineage: Bacteria
Description: partial 16S ribosomal RNA
Rfam family: Bacterial small subunit ribosomal RNA
Source: RNAcentral
CCCAGACUCCUACGGGAGGCAGCAGUGGGGAAUAUUGCACAAUGGGGGAAACCCUGAUGCAGCGACGCCGCGUGGGCGACGAAGCGCUCCGGCGCGUAAAGCCCUAUCGGCAGGGAAGAAGCAAGACGGUACCUGACUAAGAAGCCCCGGCUAACUACGUGCCAGCAGCCGCGGUAAUACGUAGGGGGCGAGCGUUAUCCGGAUUCACUGGGGGUAAAGGGAGCGUAGACGGCCAUGCAAGCCAGGGGUGAAAGCCCGGGGCCCAACCCCGGGACUGCCCUUGGAACUGCAUGGCUGGAGUGCGGGAGGGGCAGGCGGAAUUCCUGGUGUAGCGGUGAAAUGCGUAGAUAUCAGGAGGAACACCGGCGGCGAAGGCGGCCUGCUGGACCGCGACUGACGUUGAGGCUCGAAAGCGUGGGGAGCGAACAGGAUUAGAUACCCUAGUACU